AGGAUAUUAGCCCUCUUUUGAGUGGUGAAAAAUUGAGUUUUGGUAAGUGAAAAACAUUCAUGGAGCUAUUAUGAGUUUUCAUGGUGUUCUUCAAUGUUCUUGAAGUUCUUGCCAAGAACAUAAAGUUUUGAAGUUUUGAUUCAAAAGUUUUAUGUUUUUCAUAAAGUUUUGGUUUAUUAUUUGAUGGUUGAUGGUUAUAGGUGAGAUGUGAUGAAAUGUUUUAAUGUUUGUCAUAGAUUUUAAUUUUUUCUUACAAACCAUCACUUUCACCCUUUUCCUCACCCACCAAAAUCAACUUGCAAAAACUUUUUAGAAAAUUUUUCAUAACUUCUUCCAAUGGCCGGCCACCCCAAGUGGGGUUACUUUUGGGGCCUUUUGUGCAAUUACAUAAAGUUUGAGAUACUUUUGUGUAUUUGCAUUUUGGCCCAAAAGUUUACGUUUUUACGUUAAGGCCCAAAAACUCUAAAGGACAAAUUGUUUUGAUCCUUUAAUGAUGCUUUUACAUUAUUAAAAUUUUGGGAUCUAGUUGUAAUUACAUGAAGUUGUGGACUAUUGUGUUUUUACAAAGUGACCCCAAAGUUUUUGUAUUUGCAUUAUGGCCCAAUUGUUGUGGUCAUAGUUUCCUUUUGGCCCAAAUAAAAUGAGAACAAAAUGGUUUUGUCUCUUUAAUGAGAAUUGGAUUUUCAUUUCAUUUAGUUCCAUUUAAAUCAAUUCUAUGGAUCCAAAAACCAAUUGUUUAAAGUUGUUUUCUUAGUUAAUGUGAUUGAUUAAGAAAAGGGUGAUUAUGAACCAAUGGCCACGAUAAUUGAGCUAUGUGAUUGGCCGAUUUACAUUAUGAAUGUUUGGGUUUUAGUAGUGUAGAUUUGAAUGUAAUUUGAUUAAUUCAAUUUGUUGUAAAUGGACAUAAGUCCAUCAUUUGAUUUGUGUUGUAAAAGGGCAUAAGCCAUUCUUAUUAUUUCAUGUAUUCCUUUUGUUUAUAUGUAUGCAAAAUGGAAUAGUUGGGUCCAA
This 1008-nucleotide long non-coding RNA is filed under the name Malus domestica (apple). RNAcentral's name for it is "long non-coding RNA (MDOM_LNC016997)". The record is from RNAcentral. Lineage: Eukaryota; Viridiplantae; Streptophyta; Magnoliopsida; Rosales; Rosaceae.